UUUAGUUUUUUCUUUUUCCCUUUUUUUUUCCUUUUAGACUGGAUGAGGGGCACACAGUGAGAAGCUGGCUUCAUGGGAGGAGAAAUCUAUCAAAUGGAAAAUGAACAAAUACAAAACCCUCUGUUUCUGUCCAAUGUCUAUAACCACAGCAUGAUAAGACAGGGAAGGGUCAUCUGACUAUGUGGUUGAUUUCUCCAAUAUUCCUCACUGAUUUCCUCUUUUUGUAUAAUCUCUUGCUAUUACGAUAAAACGGCACCAGAUCAUGUUGAGAUGAAUCAUCCAUCUCCUUAAAUGUCUAUUUAGGAGUUAACAGAAGUUACCAGAAGUAACUCUGGUUGAAAGCUCAUCUACUUAUAGCCCUCGUUCGUUAUGAAAAUUCUUGAAACCUCAACCAAAGCCUAUCUUCAGACAAGACCACAACACACUGCCAGGAAACGCCUUUUCAGCGGAGGGGACUCACACAAAGGCAGUUUUCUCUUCUUUUGUUCUGGGAGGAAAAGGGGCAUUUGGCCACUCAGAAUGAGAGUUCAGACAGACUCUCCUGGGGAACAAGUGUUUUGCCUACGAAUUGCCUGGGUAGCUCUGAGCUGGGGAAGUGAGCAAGCUCCUCUGAGUUCCUUCUCCUUAUACAGGUUAAAAAAGUACAGAAGUGGAGAGAAGGAAACCAGUGAGACACAGCCCAGGACCAAGGAGCACUCUCUGGGAAGUCCAGACAGGCAGCAGGACCUGUCUAUCAUCGGAGGAGUACAUCACACUCUCUUUCUCUCUGCACAUCUCUGGGUGUGCCCUCUGUGUAAGUACCACCCACAGCAGGGGAGAGGUGAGGG
This is a non-coding RNA of Equus caballus (horse), 827 nucleotides long. The record is from RefSeq and is a predicted model, not a curated record. Lineage: Eukaryota; Metazoa; Chordata; Mammalia; Perissodactyla; Equidae.